UAAAUACCCUUUCUGGUUUCUACCUACAGCUCCACAAGAUUACCUCCAACAGAGAGGAUCUAGAGGCUUUUCCAUCCAAAAAAAUAUGCCAGUGACCUCAAAGACCUUGAUCUUGAAUCUGACAUGCUUUCCCACACAUCACAGCCCAGGUUGAAAUUGGAAUUUGAGAUCUGAAAGUUUCACCUUUGAAAUAACCGAUGAAACAAAACCCUUCACUGGCAGUGGUGUGCUAUCCACAGUGAAUAGCAUUUUUGAUCCUCUUGGCUUUCUCACCCCAGUAACAGUUCAGCAGUAGCUAAGGCGAUCCUCAGAGAUCACAUCAACAAGAAUGGUGAUUGGGACAUGCCACUUACCAAUGAGAUGGAACAGAUGGCAGCUUUCACUUGGAAGUGUCCAUAGCCGGGACACAGAGAUGGCAGCUUGCAUUCCCCAUGGAUUUCAUCGGCUUGUGAAGGAACCUGCCAAAAGUCGUGGGGCCCCAAUUGUUGAAGAGCAAAAGCUACAUUUCCCACGCCAGGCUCAUGCCACACAUUUAACGAAGCACGGUUGCCCAGCGUGGGGCUUGUCAAAGAAAUUCUGUUUCCUUUUCUGGAACCAAUCAGCCACGGGAGAGCCCCACAAAGCGCUCAGACUUUUCACAACAUCAUUAGCCGAUGGGAGACCUCCGUACAACUGGAUGUCUCCCUGAUUGGUUUGCGUUGCUUCCUUUUAUCUGUAAGCGUGUGUAUAUGUAUGUGUGUAUAUAUAUAUAUAUAUAUAUAUAUAUAUAUAUAUAUAUAUAUAUAUAUAUAUAUAUAUAUAUAUAUAUAUAUAUUAUAUAUAUGUAUGUAUGUAUGUAUGUGUUAUCAUGAGGUUUGGCAACAUCUUUGAAACUCCCCUUGCAUCUGACGCAUUAAGAUAAGAUACUUUAUUGUCACUCUAUACAACAUAAUGAAAUUCCCUAUGGCAGCCCUCUGAAGAACCGCAGCACAAAGAACACUUUAUAAGACUAUCCAAAUAAGUAAAUAAAUAAGAAUUGCACUGAAGAGCUUUGGAGUCU
RNAcentral lists this long non-coding RNA (1039 nucleotides) under Scleropages formosus (Asian bonytongue). RNAcentral's name for it is "lncRNA (ENSSFOG00015033362.1)". Lineage: Eukaryota; Metazoa; Chordata; Actinopteri; Osteoglossiformes; Osteoglossidae. The record is from RNAcentral.